This 392-nucleotide ribosomal RNA is filed under the name uncultured Gammaproteobacteria bacterium. RNAcentral's name for it is "bacterial SSU rRNA". It matches the Rfam family "Bacterial small subunit ribosomal RNA", at positions 370 to 779 of the family's 1533-position model. The record is from RNAcentral. Lineage: Bacteria; Pseudomonadati; Pseudomonadota; Gammaproteobacteria.
AAUGGAGGAAACUCUGAUGCAGCGAUGCCGCGUGAGUGAAGAAGGCCCUUGGGUUGUAAAGCUCUUUCGUCGGGGAAGAAAAUGACUGUACCCGAAUAAGAAGGUCCGGCUAACUUCGUGCCAGCAGCCGCGGUAAUACGAAGGGGCCUAGCGUAGUUCGGAAUUACUGGGCUUAAAGAGUUCGUAGGUGGUUGAAAAAGUUAGUGGUGAAAUCCCAGAGCUUAACUCUGGAACUGCCAUUAAAACUUUUCAGCUAGAGUAUGAUAGAGGAAAGCAGAAUUUCUAGUGUAGAGGUGAAAUUCGUAGAUAUUAGAAAGAAUACCAAUUGCGAAGGCAGCUUUCUGGAUCAUUACUGACACUGAGGAACGAAAGCAUGGGUAGCGAAGAGGAUU